RNAcentral lists this non-coding RNA (886 nucleotides) under Emiliania huxleyi. RNAcentral describes it as "Eukaryotic large subunit ribosomal RNA". It matches the Rfam family "Eukaryotic large subunit ribosomal RNA", at positions 713 to 1588 of the family's 3401-position model. The record is from Rfam by way of RNAcentral. Lineage: Eukaryota; Haptophyta; Isochrysidales; Noelaerhabdaceae.
CUCGAGGUGGAUAUCCUUUGGCGGCGUUGGGUAGCGAGGAUUGAUGUGACAAAGUGAAGGGCAUGCCCUGCCAACCGACCUUGACCUGCUGUGAGGGGUUUGAGUGACCCGAAAGAUGGUGAACUAUGCCUGGGUAGGGUGAAGCCAGAGGAAACUCUGGUGGAGGCUCGUAGCGAUACUGACGUGCAAAUCGUUCGUCGAAUCUGGGUAUAGGGGCGAAAGACUAAUCGAACCAUCUAGUAGCUGGUUCCCUCCGAAGUUCCCUCAGGAUAGCUUGAACGCAACGGUUUUGUCAGGUAAAGCGAAUGAUUAGAGGCCUGUGGGCUGAAACAGCUUGCACCUAUUCUCAAACUUCAAAUGGGCAAGAGGUCCGGGAUGCUUGAGUGAUCCCGGGCGGCGAACGGCGCGUUCAAAGUGGGCCAUUUUUGGUAAGCAGAACUGGCGAUGCGGGAUGAACCGAACGCCGCGCUAAGGUACCCAAGUGUCCUCUCAUCAGAUACCACAAAAGGCGUUGGUACCUCCAGACAGCAGGACGGUGGCCAUGGAAGUCGGAACCCGCUAAGGAGUGUGUAACAACUCACCUGCCGAAGGUACUAGCCCUGAAAAUGGAUGGCGCUCAAGCGGACCACCGAUGCGCGGCCGCCGGCGCGAGCGCGAGGCGCCGGCGAGUAGGAGGGCGCGGGGCUCGCGGCGCAGCCUUGGGCGCGAGCCUGGGUGAAGCGGGCCCCGGUGCAGAUCUUGGUGGUAGUAGCAAAUAUUCAAAUGAGAACUUUGAAGACUGAAGUGGAGAAAGGUUCCGUGUGAACAGCAGUUGGACACGGGUGAGCCGACGAUCAAGCGUCCCGAGCGGCGAGAACUCGAAUGACAGUAGCUCGCCCAGCGCGUC